Molecule: ribosomal RNA, 465 nt
Filed under: uncultured marine eukaryote
Lineage: Eukaryota
Description: SSU rRNA
Rfam family: Eukaryotic small subunit ribosomal RNA
Source: RNAcentral
UGUUGCAGUUAAAAAGCUCGUAGUUGGAUUUCUGCAGGAGUGCCUGUUGUCCGCCCACGUUGCGUGUGCAGCGGCGCCCCUGCAUCCUUCGGUUACCUCCGCUCGGCAUUCACUUGCCGGCGGUUGGCUCCGAAUAUUUACCUUGAGAAAAUUAGAGUGUUUCAGGCAGGCUUAGCCGGAAUACAUUAGCAUGGAAUAAUAGAAUAGGACUACGGUCUCGUUGUUGGUUUGAGGGACUGGAGUAAUGAUUAAUAGGGAUAGUUGGGGGCAUUAGUAUUUAAUUGUCAGAGGUGAAAUUCUCAGAUUAACUAAAGACUAACUUAUGCGAAAGCAUUUGCCAAGGAUGUUUUCAUUAAUCAAGAACGAAAGUUAGGGGAUCAAAGACGAUCAGAUACCGUCCUAGUCUUAACCAUAAACUAUGCCAACUCGGGAUCGGGGGCGUGUAAUUAUCCGCCUUCGGCACCG